AAAAAAUUAUUAUAUCACUACAAGUAGUUUCAAAAUUUAUUUAAAAGUUUACAAAUUCACUUUUCAAUUUCAUUUUUCAAUAAUGUCAGUUUUACCGACAAGACAACCAACAUUUUGAAAUAGAAUGAUAAUAAUCAUUUAAGAUACAGGACUAGAAGAGGGGCAGUCUAUCCUAUUAAUAGAGAUAGAUGAGUAUGGUUCAGAGCAGAGAUGAUUUUAAUGCUUCUGACAUUAAUUUCACCGAGUUUGUAAUGGAAAAAUAGGAACUGGAAAAGAAAGAAUAAUCAACGUAUGAAGGGAAAAUCAAAGAUUCCAGAGGUUGGGAGAAAUAAUAACGACAAAAACGUUCACUUCUUCGAGAUUUUUAAGUUGAUUGACUGAUAUUCAAACAUAUAAGUACAAUAUUUUAAACCAAGAAAAUUGGAUUAUUCGCGAUCAUGAUCCCAUUUUUCCUCUUUUUGAUGGACAUUGUAGUUAAUGAUGUUGAACUAGUGAUCAUACAAAUGAUUAUGGUCAUGAACAUGAUAUAGAGAGGUAAAACAAACGAUUGAGAUAGAAAAUCUGAUUUCGAGCCCAGUCAGAAGAAUUCUCAAGUACAAUCAUUUAUAGAAAAUAUCAAUGUUGAAUAACAAUCCAAAAUGCAAACCACUGAAAGAUUAGUCAAAGUACUGUCUUCUCGAAUAUAAAAGCGUGACAUUGUGAACUGAUGGAGAACUAUACCUUUUAAUAAAUAUAACAUUCAUGAUCACUCUAACAAAUAAAAUUGGUAUUGUUAAUCAUAUUGGUUUCCGAAAAUGAACUUUGAUUGUUUUCUGAUUAUCUAUCAGAGGAAAAGAAAUUUAUAAGGAAAAAACUGGUAAAAUAUCAGCAGAAUAAUUCACAUGAUUUUUUUUAAAGAAAUCAUUAUUAUUCCUCAAGAAUCAUUUUUCUUUAUCAGAAGUUUCUGACUUAAUUUAAAUAUAUUUGAAGAAUCCAAUUAUAUACUUUACCAAGCCUUACAAGAAUUUACAAAUUUAAUCAUCUUUAUAUUCUAUCUAUAUUUUAAUUAUAUGA
Long non-coding RNA from Vespula vulgaris, 1053 nucleotides. RefSeq lists it as uncharacterized. The record is from RefSeq and is a predicted model, not a curated record. NCBI's taxonomy places the organism in Eukaryota, Metazoa, Arthropoda, Insecta, Hymenoptera, Vespidae. The transcript has 4 exons.